UCUUAUUACUUUGACCAUAUUUUUAUCUUCCAUCUCUAUUUUGCCAAUUUGUUUAUGCAACAUAAAAUAAUAUAUAUCUUUUGUUCAAUCCAUGUCAAUAUCUAUUUUAUUUUUUACAUUAUUUGAAUAAAACAUUCAAAAACAUGAACAUUAAAAAAAUAUAAAAAAUAAAUUUAAGGUUUAAAGUACAAAAUAAAAACCCUGGCAAUAACUUACUCUCCCGCGAACUCGCAGUACCAUCAGCGAAUAAGAGUAUACAUGGUCAGAGUGUUAGAGUAUAUGGUGAAUGCCUAGGAGCUUUAUGGCGAAGAAGGACGUAAAAUUAAUUUUUUAUAU
RNAcentral lists this unclassified non-coding RNA (336 nucleotides) under Borreliella valaisiana. RNAcentral describes it as "partial 5S-23S rRNA intergenic spacer". Lineage: Bacteria; Pseudomonadati; Spirochaetota; Spirochaetia; Spirochaetales; Borreliaceae. The record is from RNAcentral.